This 432-nucleotide ribosomal RNA is filed under the name uncultured bacterium. RNAcentral's name for it is "partial 16S ribosomal RNA". It matches the Rfam family "Bacterial small subunit ribosomal RNA", at positions 29 to 507 of the family's 1533-position model. The record is from RNAcentral.
AACGAACGCUGGCGGCAGGCUUAACACAUGCAAGUCGAACGCCCCGCAAGGGGAGUGGCAGACGGGUGAGUAACGCGUGGGAACAUACCCUUUUCUACGGAAUAGCUCUGGGAAACUGGAAUUAAUACCGUAUACGCCCUACGGGGGGAAAGAUUUAUCGGGGAAGGAUUGGCCCGCGUUGGAUUAGCUAGUUGGUGGGGUAAAGGCCUACCAAGGCGACGAUCCAUAGCUGGUCUGAGAGGAUGAUCAGCCACAUUGGGACUGAGACACGGCCCAAACUCCUACGGGAGGCAGCAGUGGGGAAUAUUGGACAAUGGGCGCAAGCCUGAUCCAGCCAUGCCGCGUGAGUGAUGAAGGCCUUAGGGUUGUAAAGCUCUUUCACCGAUGAAGAUAAUGACGGUAGUCGGAGAAGAAGCCCCGGCUAACUUCGUG